UACGAACCGGACAAACGUUAUUCGGAAUCAUUGGGCUUAAAGGGUGCGUAGGCGGCCGCGUAAGUCGGGUGUGAAAUCCCUCGGCUCAACCGAGGAAUUGCGCCCGAUACUGCGUGGCUAGAGGGAGACAGAGGCGAGCGGAACUGAUGGUGGAGCGGUGAAAUGCGUUGAUAUCAUCAGGAACACCGGUGGCGAAGGCGGCUCGCUGGGUCUCUUCUGACGCUCAGGCACGAAAGCUAGGGUAGCGAACAGGAUUAGAAACCCCAGUAGUCC
This 273-nucleotide ribosomal RNA is filed under the name uncultured bacterium. RNAcentral describes it as "partial 16S ribosomal RNA". It matches the Rfam family "Bacterial small subunit ribosomal RNA", at positions 524 to 796 of the family's 1533-position model. The record is from RNAcentral.